This 2930-nucleotide ribosomal RNA is filed under the name Escherichia coli O157:H7. RNAcentral describes it as "23S ribosomal RNA". It matches the Rfam family "Bacterial large subunit ribosomal RNA". The record is from RNAcentral. Lineage: Bacteria; Pseudomonadati; Pseudomonadota; Gammaproteobacteria; Enterobacterales; Enterobacteriaceae.
GGGUUGUGAGGUUAAGCGACUAAGCGUACACGGUGGAUGCCCUGGCAGUCAGAGGCGAUGAAGGACGUGCUAAUCUGCGAUAAGCGUCGGUAAGGUGAUAUGAACCGUUAUAACCGGCGAUUUCCGAAUGGGGAAACCCAGUGUGAUUCGUCACACUAUCAUUAACUGAAUCCAUAGGUUAAUGAGGCGAACCGGGGGAACUGAAACAUCUAAGUACCCCGAGGAAAAGAAAUCAACCGAGAUUCCCCCAGUAGCGGCGAGCGAACGGGGAGCAGCCCAGAGCCUGAAUCAGUGUGUGUGUUAGUGGAAGCGUCUGGAAAGGCGCGCGAUACAGGGUGACAGCCCCGUACACAAAAAUGCACAUACUGUGAGCUCGAUGAGUAGGGCGGGACACGUGGUAUCCUGUCUGAAUAUGGGGGGACCAUCCUCCAAGGCUAAAUACUCCUGACUGACCGAUAGUGAACCAGUACCGUGAGGGAAAGGCGAAAAGAACCCCGGCGAGGGGAGUGAAAAAGAACCUGAAACCGUGUACGUACAAGCAGUGGGAGCCUCUUUUAUGGGGUGACUGCGUACCUUUUGUAUAAUGGGUCAGCGACUUAUAUUCUGUAGCAAGGUUAACCGAAUAGGGGAGCCGAAGGGAAACCGAGUCUUAACCGAGCGAUAAGUUACAGGGUAUAGACCCGAAACCCGGUGAUCUAGCCAUGGGCAGGUUGAAGGUUGGGUAACACUAACUGGAGGACCGAACCGACUAAUGUUGAAAAAUUAGCGGAUGACUUGUGGCUGGGGGUGAAAGGCCAAUCAAACCGGGAGAUAGCUGGUUCUCCCCGAAAGCUAUUUAGGUAGCGCCUCGUGAAUUCAUCUCCGGGGGUAGAGCACUGUUUCGGCAAGGGGGUCAUCCCGACUUACCAACCCGAUGCAAACUGCGAAUACCGGAGAAUGUUAUCACGGGAGACACACGGCGGGUGCUAACGUCCGUCGUGAAGAGGGAAACAACCCAGACCGCCAGCUAAGGUCCCAAAGUCAUGGUUAAGUGGGAAACGAUGUGGGAAGGCCCAGACAGCCAGGAUGUUGGCUUAGAAGCAGCCAUCAUUUAAAGAAAGCGUAAUAGCUCACUGGUCGAGUCGGCCUGCGCGGAAGAUGUAACGGGGCUAAACCAUGCACCGAAGCUGCGGCAGCGACACUGUGUGUUGUUGGGUAGGGGAGCGUUCUGUAAGCCUGUGAAGGUGUACUGUGAGGUAUGCUGGAGGUAUCAGAAGUGCGAAUGCUGACAUAAGUAACGAUAAAGCGGGUGAAAAGCCCGCUCGCCGGAAGACCAAGGGUUCCUGUCCAACGUUAAUCGGGGCAGGGUGAGUCGACCCCUAAGGCGAGGCCGAAAGGCGUAGUCGAUGGGAAACAGGUUAAUAUUCCUGUACUUGGUGUUACUGCGAAGGGGGGACGGAGAAGGCUAUGUUGGCCGGGCGACGGUUGUCCCGGUUUAAGCGUGUAGGCUGGUUUUCCAGGCAAAUCCGGAAAAUCAAGGCUGAGGCGUGAUGACGAGGCACUACGGUGCUGAAGCAACAAAUGCCCUGCUUCCAGGAAAAGCCUCUAAGCAUCAGGUAACAUCAAAUCGUACCCCAAACCGACACAGGUGGUCAGGUAGAGAAUACCAAGGCGCUUGAGAGAACUCGGGUGAAGGAACUAGGCAAAAUGGUGCCGUAACUUCGGGAGAAGGCACGCUGAUAUGUAGGUGAAGUCCCUCGCGGAUGGAGCUGAAAUCAGUCGAAGAUACCAGCUGGCUGCAACUGUUUAUUAAAAACACAGCACUGUGCAAACACGAAAGUGGACGUAUACGGUGUGACGCCUGCCCGGUGCCGGAAGGUUAAUUGAUGGGGUCAGCGCAAGCGAAGCUCUUGAUCGAAGCCCCGGUAAACGGCGGCCGUAACUAUAACGGUCCUAAGGUAGCGAAAUUCCUUGUCGGGUAAGUUCCGACCUGCACGAAUGGCGUAAUGAUGGCCAGGCUGUCUCCACCCGAGACUCAGUGAAAUUGAACUCGCUGUGAAGAUGCAGUGUACCCGCGGCAAGACGGAAAGACCCCGUGAACCUUUACUAUAGCUUGACACUGAACAUUGAGCCUUGAUGUGUAGGAUAGGUGGGAGGCUUUGAAGUGUGGACGCCAGUCUGCAUGGAGCCGACCUUGAAAUACCACCCUUUAAUGUUUGAUGUUCUAACGUGGACCCGUGAUCCGGGUUGCGGACAGUGUCUGGUGGGUAGUUUGACUGGGGCGGUCUCCUCCUAAAGAGUAACGGAGGAGCACGAAGGUUGGCUAAUCCUGGUCGGACAUCAGGAGGUUAGUGCAAUGGCAUAAGCCAGCUUGACUGCGAGCGUGACGGCGCGAGCAGGUGCGAAAGCAGGUCAUAGUGAUCCGGUGGUUCUGAAUGGAAGGGCCAUCGCUCAACGGAUAAAAGGUACUCCGGGGAUAACAGGCUGAUACCGCCCAAGAGUUCAUAUCGACGGCGGUGUUUGGCACCUCGAUGUCGGCUCAUCACAUCCUGGGGCUGAAGUAGGUCCCAAGGGUAUGGCUGUUCGCCAUUUAAAGUGGUACGCGAGCUGGGUUUAGAACGUCGUGAGACAGUUCGGUCCCUAUCUGCCGUGGGCGCUGGAGAACUGAGGGGGGCUGCUCCUAGUACGAGAGGACCGGAGUGGACGCAUCACUGGUGUUCGGGUUGUCAUGCCAAUGGCACUGCCCGGUAGCUAAAUGCGGAAGAGAUAAGUGCUGAAAGCAUCUAAGCACGAAACUUGCCCCGAGAUGAGUUCUCCCUGACCCUUUAAGGGUCCUGAAGGAACGUUGAAGACGACGACGUUGAUAGGCCGGGUGUGUAAGCGCAGCGAUGCGUUGAGCUAACCGGUACUAAUGAACCGUGAGGCUUAACCUUACAACGCCGAAGGUGUUU